UACGUAGGGCGCAAGCGUUAUCCGGAAUUAUUGGGCGUAAAGAGCUCGUAGGCGGUUUGUUGCGUCGGCUGUGAAAUCCCGAGGCUCAACCUCGGGUCUGCAGUCGAUACGAGCAAACUAGAGUGUUGCAGGGGAGACUGGAAUUCCUGGUGUAGCGGUGAAAUGCGCAGAUAUCAGGAGGAACACCGGUGGCGAAGGCGGGUCUCUGGGCCGAUACUGACGCUGAGGAGCGAAAGCAUGGGGAGCGAACAGG
This 253-nucleotide ribosomal RNA is filed under the name uncultured bacterium. Its description in RNAcentral is "partial 16S ribosomal RNA". It matches the Rfam family "Bacterial small subunit ribosomal RNA", at positions 524 to 776 of the family's 1533-position model. The record is from RNAcentral.